RNAcentral lists this long non-coding RNA (363 nucleotides) under Ailuropoda melanoleuca (giant panda). RNAcentral describes it as "lncRNA (ENSAMEG00000024231.1)". Lineage: Eukaryota; Metazoa; Chordata; Mammalia; Carnivora; Ursidae. The record is from RNAcentral.
AAAUGAUUUUCUACAUCAAUUAAAAUGAUCAUGUGACAGCCAGGGCGCAGAGGUCAGGGAGCUGGGGUGCAGAGGUCGGGCAGUUAGGUGCAGAGGUCGGACAGCCGGGGUGCAGAGGUCAGGGAGCCAGGGUGCAGAGGUCGGGCAGUUAGGCGCAGAGGUCAGGGAGCCGGGGUGCAGAGGUCGGGGAGCCGGGGUGCAGAGGUCAGGGAGCUGGGGUGCAGAGGUCGGGCAGUUAGGCGCAGAGGUCAGGGAGCCGGGGUGCAGAGGUCGGGCAGCCGUGGUGCAGAGGUCAGGGAGCCGGGGUGCAGAGGUCGGGCAGCCGUGGUGCAGAGGUCGGGCAGUUAGGCGCAGAGGUCGGGC